AGGAGGCUUACAGCGGGAGGGUUGAAGGCAGAAGGAGAGGCAGUGAGGAGCUGAGAGAAGAAUGUGGCCAGGGGACUGACCUGAGAACACCUCCCAGGUCUCUGUCUUCACAAUUCUCCCUCAAGAAGGCAUCAACCUUCCCAAGCUGCUCCAUCUACGCUAUCCUCGGCCACAGGAAAUAACCCUGAGCAGGCUCAGAUGAGCACAGACCCCCCAAAUGAGAAAAAUAAGAAGCAGCUCCACCUCCCGCACCCCCAUCAUCAAUCCCAAUGUAUUCACAGUGGCUAUCUGCUGACUCUGAGCUCUGUUGAUGGCACCGUUUCUGGCAAGGUACCCAGACCUUUAGGAAAGAAGGCCAGGAAGAUCCAACUCUAGCACCUGCUCGGUACAGAUGUGUCAAGAGUGCUGAACGCUGAUGUGUAAAUAAAGUACGUGCUGUUUCA
Molecule: long non-coding RNA, 443 nt
Organism: Canis lupus familiaris (dog)
Lineage: Eukaryota; Metazoa; Chordata; Mammalia; Carnivora; Canidae
Exons: 2
Source: RefSeq, a predicted model, not a curated record